RNAcentral lists this ribosomal RNA (290 nucleotides) under uncultured bacterium. RNAcentral's name for it is "partial 16S ribosomal RNA". It matches the Rfam family "Bacterial small subunit ribosomal RNA", at positions 335 to 610 of the family's 1533-position model. The record is from RNAcentral.
ACUCCUACGGGAGGCAGCAGUGGGAAUAUUGCACAAUGGGGAAAGCCAUCGAUGCAGCCAUGCCGCGUGUGUGAAGAAGGCCAAUUCGGGCUUGGUUAAAGACACUUUUCAGUGGGGAGGAAAGGUUGUUGGUUAAUACCUAACAGCUGUGACGUUACCCACAGAAGAAGCACCGGCUAACUCCGUGCCAGCAGCCGCGGUAAUACGGAGGGUGCAAGCGUUAAUCGGAAUUACUGGGCGUAAAGCGUGCGCAGGCGGUCUGUUAAGCGAGAUGUGAAAGCCCCGGCUGC